UUGGUCCUACGGGGCGCAGCAGUGAGGAAUAUUGGUCAAUGGGAGAGAUCCUGAACCAGCCAAGCCGCGUGAGGGAAGACGGCCCUAUGGGUUGUAAACCCCUUUUGUCGGAGAACAAAACCCGGGACGUGUCCCGGACUGCGUGUAUCCGAAGAAAAAGCAUCGGCUAACUCCGUGCCAGCAGCCGCGGUAAUACGGAGGAUGCGAGCGUUACCCGGAUUUAUUGGGUUUAAAGGGUGCGUAGGCGGUCCGUUAAGUCAGCGGUAAAAUUGCGGCGCUCAACCCUGUCGAGCCGUUGAAACUGG
This 305-nucleotide ribosomal RNA is filed under the name uncultured bacterium. RNAcentral's name for it is "bacterial SSU rRNA". It matches the Rfam family "Bacterial small subunit ribosomal RNA", at positions 333 to 636 of the family's 1533-position model. The record is from RNAcentral.